This 253-nucleotide unclassified non-coding RNA is filed under the name Hevea brasiliensis (rubber tree). Lineage: Eukaryota; Viridiplantae; Streptophyta; Magnoliopsida; Malpighiales; Euphorbiaceae. The record is from RNAcentral.
AUCACUAUACAACUCAGGCUGCAUUGGAGAAGGGAGGGCGUUCAAAACCUUGGAAAAGUCUUCAGGUAUGGCAUUGAGUUGGCCUGCAACAUCAACCCUCGGCUCCAAUCCUGUAGGCAUCAAGGGUCAGAAAAGCACUGCUGUAAAUUAUCCUAUCUAAUCAAAUAAGGUAAAUGAUCAUCAGUUUCAAAGGUAAGUUACAGGAGGGAUUAGUGGCAAGAAUGGCAAGAAACAAAAUAAAAACAUUAUGCCA